GAUGAACGCUGGCGGCGUGCCUAAUACAUGCAAGUCGAGCGAACAGACGAGGAGCUUGCUCCUCUGACGUUAGCGGCGGACGGGUGAGUAACACGUGGAUAACCUACCUAUAAGACUGGGAUAACUUCGGGAAACCGGAGCUAAUACCGGAUAAUAUAUUGAACCGCAUGGUUCAAUAGUGAAAGACGGUUUUGCUGUCACUUAUAGAUGGAUCCGCGCCGCAUUAGCUAGUUGGUAAGGUAACGGCUUACCAAGGCAACGAUGCGUAGCCGACCUGAGAGGGGGAUCGGCCACACUGGAACUGAGACCCGGUCCAGACUCCUACGGGAGGCAGCAGUAGGGAAUCUUCCGCAAUGGGCGAAAGCCUGACGGAGCAACGCCGCGUGAGUGAUGAAGGUCUUCGGAUCGUAAAACUCUGUUAUUAGGGAAGAACAAAUGUGUAAGUAACUAUGCACGUCUUGACGGUACCUAAUCAGAAAGCCACGGCUAACUACGU
This 496-nucleotide ribosomal RNA is filed under the name uncultured bacterium. Its description in RNAcentral is "partial 16S ribosomal RNA". It matches the Rfam family "Bacterial small subunit ribosomal RNA", at positions 28 to 506 of the family's 1533-position model. The record is from RNAcentral.